CAGUAGCCGCGGGAAUACGUAGGUGGCAAGCGUUGUCCGGAAUUAUUGGGCGUAAAGGGCUCGCAGGCGGUUUCUUAAGUCUGAUGUGAAAGCCCCCGGCUCAACCGGGGAGGGUCAUUGGAAACUGGGAAACUCGAGUGCAGAAGAGGAGAGUGGAAUUCCACGUGUAGCGGUGAAAUGCGUAGAGAUGUGGAGGAACACCAGUGGCGAAGGCGACUCUCUGGUCUGUAACUGACGCUGAGGAGCGAAAGCGUGGGGAGCGAACAGGAUUAGAUACCCCCGUAGUCCCUGUCUCUUAUAC
RNAcentral lists this ribosomal RNA (301 nucleotides) under uncultured bacterium. RNAcentral describes it as "partial 16S ribosomal RNA". It matches the Rfam family "Bacterial small subunit ribosomal RNA", at positions 509 to 807 of the family's 1533-position model. The record is from RNAcentral.